Molecule: ribosomal RNA, 447 nt
Filed under: uncultured bacterium
Lineage: Bacteria
Description: partial 16S ribosomal RNA
Rfam family: Bacterial small subunit ribosomal RNA
Source: RNAcentral
AACGAACGCUGGCGGCAGGCUUAACACAUGCAAGUCGAACGCCCCGCAAGGGGAGUGGCAGACGGGUGAGUAACGCGUGGGAACGUACCUUUCAGUUCGGAAUAACUCAGGGAAACUUGGGCGAAUACCGGAUACGUCCGUAAGGAGAAAGAUUUAUCGCUGAAAGAUCGGCCCGCGUUGGAUUAGCUAGUUGGUGGGGUAAUGGUCUACCAAGGCGACGAUCCAUAGCUGGUCUGAGAGGAUGAUCAGCCACACUGGGACUGAGACACGGCCCAGACUCCUACGGGAGGCAGCAGUGGGGAAUAUUGGACAAUGGGCGAAAGCCUGAUCCAGCCAUGCCGCGUGAGUGAUGAAGGCCCUAGGGUUGUAAAGCUCUUUCACCGAUGAAGAUAAUGACGGUAGUCGGAGAAGAAGCCCCGGCUAACUUCGUGCCAGCCGCCGCCGUAA